RNAcentral lists this ribosomal RNA (237 nucleotides) under uncultured Lactobacillus sp. Its description in RNAcentral is "partial 16S ribosomal RNA". It matches the Rfam family "Bacterial small subunit ribosomal RNA", at positions 125 to 356 of the family's 1533-position model. Lineage: Bacteria; Bacillati; Bacillota; Bacilli; Lactobacillales; Lactobacillaceae. The record is from RNAcentral.
CCUGCCCAAGAGAUCGGGAUAACACCUGGAAACAGAUGCUAAUACCGGAUAACAACAGAUGAUGCCUAUCAACUGUUUAAAAGAUGGUUCUGCUAUCACUCUUGGAUGGACCUGCGGUGCAUUAGCUAGUUGGUAGGGUAACGGCCUACCAAGGCGAUGAUGCAUAGCCGAGUUGAGAGACUGAUCGGCCACAUUGGGACUGANACACGGCCCAAACUCCUACGGGAGGCAGCAGCG